UUUUUUUUUUUAACACUAUAAUUGAUUCUUUAUUGCACAUAUUGCUGUUUAACAAUUAAACUUGGUGUACAGCAUUUCAUCAAGUUUCCCUGUUAAAUUACCACUGAAUACCCAGGGAUAAUAUUCAGUACAAUUAACUAAUACAUUACAUUGGUUUAAUUCACAUACUAAACUAUUAUUAUAGUUGUUACAAAUAGUCUUUGCAUCUUCACAAAAAGUAUUUUUCAGAUAUAUUCAUAUAAAAAAUAUCUACACAAUAAUUGUUUUACGGAAAUUGAUCAUUCAUCCGGAAUGACUUUUUGGGUUCUUUUAUUAACUAAUCAAAAACGAAUUGCGGUCAAGUGACCUCACACGACUUUUCUGUUCCUCGUGUUGGGACAAUAUUUUUUGAAGUGUUUCGAGAAUUUGGAUUAUUAAUUUCUAUGUGGUUUUAAGCUUUGAAUAAUAUUGCGAAAAGGUAAGUUGGAGUGUAAAUAUAUUUUUCAUAGUUGCACUUUCACUUUCAGUUUUUA
RNAcentral lists this long non-coding RNA (512 nucleotides) under Mytilus galloprovincialis (Mediterranean mussel). Lineage: Eukaryota; Metazoa; Mollusca; Bivalvia; Mytilida; Mytilidae. The record is from RNAcentral.